CAUAAUAGCAAUUUAAAAUAUCAGACGUGCCAUGGCAUGUUAACAAGGAGAUGCCUCAAAAGCAUGGUACUGACAUUGCAAUACGAGAUAAUAACAUAUAAUGUUUCUGAUUGUUAAGAUUAUUGACCCAAAACUCACAAGCAAUCGUAAAAAUAGUAAAAUAAAUCAAGAACAGAAAUUGAACACAAGAAUCGUUCACCAAAUUCAGCCAAACACAGCCUAAUCUGGGGGGCUCAGAAGUAAGCCCGUCACUAACAAGAAACCUUCAAGAGAGUGUACAACCAUUUGAGAAAACCAAAACUAACCCACUAUAUGGUCAUCAAUCCACAAGAAUCUCUCAAUAACUCGAACCCUAGCCCACAAAACUAGACAAAACCUUGUCACAGGUUUACCAGCCACAUACAAGGCCUAAAACAAUGUACCAACAUUCUACCAUCAUCAGAUAACUAUAAGAUUAUUACAAAGAUCACCAAAGUUCUUCAGAUCUAAAAAGAAAAGAAGAAGCAGAAGGGAGAGAGAGCUAGAGAGAGAAAAAACCAAAAAGAUAAUUUCUUCAAAAUAGAGAGUGACAGACUGCUCCUUUUCCCAACCCUCAAAAGGACUUAGGAAAUACCAAGAAACUGUCUUGGACUUUGUUUGAAUCCAUAUAGAGAUUUUUGCAAUUUACAAACAAAAUCAAAAUUUUCCUAUUCUUCGAAACCUUGUGGUUGACACAUGUAUAUGUCCUCUUACAAAUCCCUAUGUAAAAAAGACAGUUUUCACGUCUAAUUGUUCAAGUUCCCAAUCAAAUUGAACAACUAGAGCCAAAAAUGAGUCUUAUGAUUUUAUAUUUGAUUACAGGUGAAAAAAUUUCAUUGUAAUCAACUCCCUCCCUUUGAAUGAAGGCUACUAGCCUUGCCUUAUACCUCAAAGGAUCAGAUUCUGAAAUCCCUUCUUUCAACUUAAAGAUCCACUUACAUUGAACCACUAUGUGAUUCUUUGGCUUCUUUACAAGUUUCCAGGUUUUAUUUUUAAGAAGUGAUUUCAUUUCUUCUUUUAUUGCUUCUAUCCAUUCUUUUGAUUUAGAAUUAUUCAUAGCUUCUUCAUAAGAUAGGAGUUCAAAGUGUUCUAAGUUUUCACCAGAGAUGAGGGCAAAUUCAGUCAGAUUAUUCAUUUCAUACCUAGGUUAGGUUUAAUCUGUCUCCUUUCCUUAUCUCUCACCAAUUGAUAAUCUUGGGUACUAGCUUCAUUUUUCGGGUAGUUAGAUGCCACAGUUUCAGAUUCUGUUUCAGUUCCAAUUUGGGAUGGAUUAACUUCACCUUCAUCAAUAUUUUCUACACUUACACUAACAUGUACAGGUUCUGGUUCAGUUAUAUCAGAUUUGUUAUUAUAUAAUUUUGCCAACUUCACCUCAUUUUGGGAAGUACCCUUUUCAGCCAGAUCUGAUUUAUCCAUAUUAUUCUCCAAGCAAUGCAUCUCAGUCUCAUUAAACACCACAUUUAUACUGUUAAUGAUCUUUAUUCCCUUAAUACCAAGUACCCUAUAACCUUUACCCUUUAACCCCUUCAGGGUAUCCAUGCAUAACACACAUGGUAGCCCUCGGGUCUAAUUUCUCCUCAAUUUGAUAUGCAUAUGCAGCACAACCAAAGACUCUUAAGUAUGACAAAUUUGGUGGUUUUCCAAUCCAUAGUUCCUGUGGAGUUUUAAACUCUACAGAACUACAAGAGGACCUAUUUAUAAGGUAGGCAGCCGUGCAUAAAGCUUCUAGCCAAAAUCCUUUUGCAAGCCUAUAAUUGAUCAGCAUACAUCUUACCUUAUUCAUAAGGAUUCUAUUCAUUCUCUCAGCAACCCCAUUUUGUUGGAAUAUGUGUUUAACAGUUCUAUGUCUAAUUAUUCUUUUUUGCUUACAAAAAUUAUCAAAUUCAGCAUUGCAAAAUUCCAACCCAUCACGUUCUUACGGUUUUCAAUUUCUUGUCCAAUUGGUUCUCAACCAUCUUUAACCACAAUCUGAAUUUUUGAAAGGUUUCAAUUUUGGAUUUCAAUGGAUAAGUCCAGACCUUUUUGGAAUAAUCAUCAAUUAUAGAAAGAAAAUAUUUAUUUCCACCAAAGGUUGGGUGGUUUUCUGGCCCCCAUAAAUCUGCAUGGACAUAGUCUAAUUGUCUAUUUAUUGUGUGUGACCUGGUCUCAAAACUCACUCUAUGAGACUUCCCUAGCACACAUGUUUCACAAAAAUUAAGGGGUUCCACUUUAUAUUUCCCAAACAAUUUCUAGUCAUUAAGAUGCUUUAAGCCCUUAUUUCCAAUAUGACCCAUUCUACAAUGCUACAAUUCAAAUUUGCCCUCAGUUUUUAUUUAAAGAUCUUGGGUCUUGGGAAUUAACAGUUUUUCCCAUUAAGUAGUAUAGCCCAUUCCUUUUAGGCCCCUUCAUGACUUCAGGAGAUCCUUUAAAGAUUUUUGAAGUGUUAUUUUCAGAUUUAAAUGUACGUUCCUCAUUUUCAAGAAUCCCCAAUGAAAUGAGGUUUCUUUUUAGAUUUGGGACAUAUCUCACAUUUUUUAUCUGCCCAACACUUCCAUCAUACAUUUUGAUUGAAAUGUCACCAAUUCCAAGUACAUUUUAUGAAUUGUUAUCACUCAUAUAUACUUUCCAGGGUUCUAUCUCCUUGUCGUUAUGAAACCAAGAUUUAUUUGGACACAUAUGAAAUUUACGUCCAUAAUCUAAAAUCCAGUUAGUGUCUGUUUCUUCAUUUGUCACAAUCAUUACAAGAAGGCUGUCAAGUUUAGAACUCACAGCAACAUUAUUUAACUUAAUGUUGCUGGAUUCUUUUAGCUUCUUCUUUAACUCAAAGCAGUCUCUUUUGAAAUGGCUAAGUUUACCACAGUCAUAGCAUUUUUUAUUGCUUUUGUCUCUUGAUUUAGAUCUGGUUUUGGAUUUGGACUUGAAUCUUUUAUUCUGUGAAUUUUUUUCCCUUUUUAUUGGUCUUCCUCUUACAAACAAACUCUCCUCUCUUGAGUUUAGUUUAGAGUCUUUCUUGACUUCCAAUUCUCUAUAUCUUAGGGCAUUUGUCACGAUUGAUUGUGUUAAAGCAUCUCUUGAGUAUUUUAUAGUAUUUCUGAUAUCCUUAUAAGAAUCAGGUAAGGAGAUUAGAAGGAUCACUGCAAGAUCUUCAUCUUCAAAUUUUUUACUAUUAUGAGAAAGACUCUUUACCAGUAUGCUAAAAUCACUCAAAUUGAUUUCAAGGUCUUUUCGGUCAUCCGUUUUAAAACUGAACAGUUUUUCCGGGAGAUAAAUUUUAUUUGGUAAAGUCUUGGUCAAGAACAAAUUAUCCAAGGCUAUCCAUAGGUCUCUAGCAAUUUUAGAUUCCUCUACUUGCCUUACUAUAUUAUCAGAUAAGUGCAGGAUAAUCGAGCUGUAAGCAAUUUCAUUCAUUUCAAGAAUCUCAUCAGGUUUGGCUUUAAGUUCAUCGGAAUAUUUAUCAAGGUCAUCCAGGGCUUUCGCAACCUUUUGUUGGACCAAUAUAGCCCUCAUUUUCUGCUUCCAAAUUGAGUAAACCUCCUUUCCAUCGAAUUGUGAUAAUUCGACCUUAGAACCCAUCAUAGGUUCUGUAAAAGGGUGGUUACUACUAGAAGCCAUGACAUACACAACAAUUUAUGAAUACCAAAAAACCAAGAAACUUUCUAACAGAUUUAAAGUAAUGUAAAUCACUGAAUGAAAAACAAUUAUCUUAACUUGUACAACUGAAGCAAUAUACACAGGCAGACAACGUGUUGGGAAUUCAAAGAAUUACACAACAGAUAUGAAGAACUUUGUAUAAUACCUAAACGUGCUCCUAUUGUCAGAUCAAUUCACAGUGUACAAUGUCACUAAUUAAUCCACAGAACAAUAGACAUGCAAUUUUUGUGCACCAAAAUUAUACAGGUUCUUUUAAUGGUAAGAUCUCACCUACAACACCGUUGAACAACAGUGCAAUCAAAAGUUUUUAAAGACCACCCUAUCACCUGCCAAACUAGAACCGGUCAAGUGCUUACCAAUCUUUAGUUCUUGACCUACGCACUUCAACAGAAAAAUUAGUCUCCUUAGAUGUCUAUGCAGAUCUUUAAGAUCUGGAUAGAAAGUAAAGAAAAAAUAAAAAUCUCAAGAAAUGAAAAAGCCGAAUACUGCAGAUCCAAAAAAGUAGAAUAUGCACGACGAUUUACUUUCCUCAACUCACAAAAUAUCCUUAGCACAAGGUAUAUCAUGCAGAUGCCUCGAAAAUUGAGAUCUGAUGCCAGAUUUGUUAGGAUUAUCGACCAAAACCCACAAGCAAUCGUACAAAUAGUAAAAAUAAAUCAAGAACAUAAAUCGAACACAAGAAUCGUUCACCCAAUUCAGCCAAACACGGCCCGAUCUGGGGAGCUCAGAAGUAAGCCCGUCACUAGCAAGAAACCUUUAAGAGAGUGUACAAUACAACCAUUUGAGAAAACCAAAUCAGACUCACUAUAUGGUCAUCAAUCUACAAGGAUCUCUCAAUAACUCGAACCCUAUCCCACAAAACUAGACAAAACCUUGUCAAGAACAAAAUACAG
This 4541-nucleotide long non-coding RNA is filed under the name Olea europaea (common olive). RNAcentral's name for it is "long non-coding RNA (OEUR_LNC004046)". Lineage: Eukaryota; Viridiplantae; Streptophyta; Magnoliopsida; Lamiales; Oleaceae. The record is from RNAcentral.